GUAGGUGGCAAGCGCUGUCCGGAAUUAUUGGGCGUAAAGCGCGCGCAGGUGGUUCUUUAAGUCUGAUGUGAAAGCCCCCGGCUCAACCGGGGAGGGUCAUUGGAAACUGGGGAACUUGAGUGCAGGAGAGGAAAGUGGAAUUCCACGUGUAGCGGUGAAAUGCGUAGAUAUGUGGAGGAACAUCAGUGGCGAAGGCGACUUUCUGGCCUGUAACUGACACUGAGGCGCGAAAGCGUGGGGAGCAAACAGGGAUUAGAUACCCUGGUAGUCCACGCCGUAAACGAUGAGUGCUAAGUGUUGGGGGGGUUUUCCGCCCCCUCAGUGCUGCAGCUAACGCAUUAAGCACUCCGCCUGGGAGUACGGUCGCAAGACUG
Molecule: ribosomal RNA, 374 nt
Filed under: uncultured organism
Description: partial 16S ribosomal RNA
Rfam family: Bacterial small subunit ribosomal RNA
Source: RNAcentral